CGCGACAAUCUGCAGACGUUGUCGAAUUGAAGUGUUUAAAUUUGUCUUCCAUUUUACAAGUGAACCUCCGAUGCAGGAAGUGGGGUGUGUUGCGUCCCCAGGUGAUUUACUGCUGAGACCAACUGUGUUUGUAACCAGACAAGGAACCCAUGGCUGAUGGAGGAGUUGUACUGAAGGCCCUGCCUGGUGGAGGAGCUGGUGGAGGCCCUGCCUGGUGAAGGACGUCUGUCGUGGGACAGGACUCUGUCUGAGGAGAGCUGCUGGAGGAGCUGAGACGCUGGAGGACGACUAGGAAUCGACCAACAAGGAUUACUCAACGUGUUUCUGGAGCGGAGGCGAGCUGGUAGGGGAGCCGUGAAUCUGGAGGAUGACCAUCACUCUAUCAACAAGGAUUAAUUUAGGGCCAGACUCGCGCUGUUUGUUCCAGACCAGGACUCGGGCUGAGGAGAGCUGAUGGAGGAUCCAAGACUCUGGAGGACGACAUCACUCUACCAACCAGGAUCCUCAGACAAAUUACGUUUGUAACCAGACCAGGAAUCGGGAGGACUGAUGGAGAAGCCGUACAUCUGGAAGGCAAAUCCAGAGGACAACCAGGACUCUACCAUCAAGGUUUCCUUAUAAGUUUGCAUUAUCUGGACAUGGUGGACUGGGCAGACACACCUGAGCUGAACCUCACCUGAUCUUGUUUGGUCGGGGGUAGACACACCUGAGCUAAACCCGCCCUUAUCCUGACAUCCUGCUGGUCCCGUCUCCUCAGUUCAUCUGCGCCUCAUCCUCCAGAAGACCUGCUGAGCUCAGCAGUCUGAGGCUGAUGGAUCAAUGACCUCCAGUGGGAGUGAUCUUCUUGUCCCCACAUGUAACCGUGUGUUUCCACACGCCUUUCCCUCAUGUUUGUCACUAACCUCACUACUUCACUACUCUCUACUGCUUCCUCUUUUCUUCCUUCUCUGUGGUUCGAACCUUUACACGGAAGGCGCGUCUUCCUGCCCUCAGAGGGUUCAGCGUUAGGGUUGAGAGUCAGGGUUUAGAGUCAGGGACAGAGCUGGUCAGGGAGGACUGCUUUUACACAAACCUCUUCACUUCCUUUCGAAAUGGUGGUGACAUUUUGAAAAGAUUCAUUUGGGAAAAUGUUUUCCUCUGCUUUCCUUUACAAAAUUGUAUUAAAUUUCUGUCAAGUGUUUUUGUUUAGAUAUUAAAAUCCCACAUUGACUUCUACAUGUUUGGUGCGGUUCAUUUAAUUGUCCUUUAACUUGGUUAAUGUCAAGCUAAACUCCUGCAAUACAUUUAAUAUACAUGAUUGUUAUUCAGCAAUGUUCACAUUAUCCAUUUUGUAAAAAUAUGAAACCUCCAUAUUACUACUAAAUUCAAGCCUAUUCAUGUAUUUAACAACGUACAUCCCCCUGCCUCGAUUAAGCCCUGAACGCAGACCCUGAACCCAGACAUCCUAAUCACAGACCC
Gadus macrocephalus (Pacific cod) is the source of this 1458-nucleotide long non-coding RNA. RefSeq lists it as uncharacterized. Lineage: Eukaryota; Metazoa; Chordata; Actinopteri; Gadiformes; Gadidae. The record is from RefSeq and is a predicted model, not a curated record. The transcript is spliced from 6 exons.